Long non-coding RNA from Mustela erminea (ermine), 1159 nucleotides. RefSeq lists it as uncharacterized. The record is from RefSeq and is a predicted model, not a curated record. The transcript has 3 exons. Lineage: Eukaryota; Metazoa; Chordata; Mammalia; Carnivora; Mustelidae.
UACAGUAUGGGACACAUUUUUAGAAUUUCAUCUUGCUUAUGCACAGUAGGGCAAUCUGGUUGGAAAUAAGUCAAACCUUCUAGUUAUGAAGGUUCUAGUUACGAUUUCCGCCUUCUCUGACCGCAGUGACUGCUGGGAAAAUUUCUAUCACGCGCUUCGACUAAUAGGUAUCUUUUGACAGAUAGUUUUUUACAGAAACUUCAAAAGUCACCCAAACGAGGAAAGCUUUGGAGUUUCCAGGGACCAUGGAUUCAGAGACCCUUGCCCUCCUUGAUACGACCUUUUGGACCCUCAGGGACUAGGCAGUGGAGGCAAGAGUGCAGUUAACGUACGGAGUUAUAUUACUUCCAAGUGUAUAACACAGUGAUUCAACAGUUCCAUACGUGAUUCUGUGCUCCUCAUGGCCCUGCUCAAACGCUCUGCCUUCUUGAGACGUUACUAAAGCGGCCAAGGGAAGCCGAAGAGGAAUCAGCGACCCCACAUUUCAACUCGGAGUGCUUGUCGACCCCAGUCGGUCAGCAUGGUGGCCUGCCUGUGCCCUGUGCUCUCCCAGCAUCCCCCUGGCUGCAUCCCUUAGUGCUGCUUCUGUUUGGGUCACAUGACUGUCCCUAACACAACCGCUUCUUCCACCCCAUCCCCCCCACCCCAAACCCCAGCUCCCGGACAGAGUCAGUUGCGGCACGGACCGUCCCCUCUUCCGUCCCCUCUUCCGUCCCCCACUCGCCUGACUCCAGUUCCAAGCCCACUCCUCUGUCUUCAUUUAAUGAGGUUUAUUGUUUGUGCUUAGUACUUCUCAAAGCCCCGUCACCCUCUCUGCAUUUGCUUUUAGAUCUUCAGCCUGCCAGAGAGGUGGGCUUUUGAAGCUGCCUUCUUUAAUUCAGUACCUGGCUUCUGCAUUUAACGGCACAUGGGUUUGAAGUAUACAUAAACCACAGUGGAAACAUCUGAGAAGCAUCCCGAGACACCGCAAAUUAUAAAGGGCGAUUAAGAAAUAGUGUGGUACUCUAGCUCCUCGUGCCUUAGAACUUGAUUCUUUGUAUCAAAAAGAUGCAGGGAUAUCAAAAUAUCACUGUCUGACUCUGAUAAUGACUUCCUGGAGUUUCAUACAUUUGUGGAACAAAGAUAUAAUUUUAAUUAUCAGCAGCUCCAUUUAAAAAAA